UCGUGCGAGAAGGAGACUUCGGUCUCUGAGUAGAGCGGCGCACGGGUGAGUAACGCGUGGAUGAUCUACCCUUGAGUUCGGGAUAACGGUGCGAAAGCGCCGCUAAUACCGUAUAACAAUCCAUUUCAUCGUGGGUUCAAAGCAGGCCUCUUCGUGAAAGCUUGCGCUUGGGGAUGAGUCCGCGUCCCAUUAGCUUGUUGGCGGGGUAACGGCCCACCAAGGCUACGAUGGGUAGCUGGUCUGAGAGGAUGAUCAGCCACACUGGAACUGAAACACGGUCCAGACUCCUACGGGAGGCAGCAGUGGGGAAUAUUGCGCAAUGGGGGAAACCCUGACGCAGCGACGUCGUGUGAGGGAAGAAGGCCUUCGGGUCGUAAACCUCUGUCAGAAGGGAAGAACAUCCGGGAGUCGAACAGCCUCCCGGCCUGACGGUACCUUCAGAGGAAGCGCCGGCUAACUCCGUGCCAGCAGCCGCGGUAAUACGGAGGGCGCAAGCGUUAAUCGGAAUCACUGGGCGUAAAGCGUGCGUAGGCUGUUUGAUAAGUCAGGCGUGAAAUCCCUCGGCUCAACCGGGGAACUGCGUUUGAUACUGUUGAACUAGAGUCCUGGAGAGGGUGGCGGAAUUCCUGGUGUAGGAGUGAAAUCCGU
This 648-nucleotide ribosomal RNA is filed under the name uncultured bacterium. Its description in RNAcentral is "bacterial SSU rRNA". It matches the Rfam family "Bacterial small subunit ribosomal RNA", at positions 62 to 691 of the family's 1533-position model. The record is from RNAcentral.